GGAGUAGGACUGUGACUCAGUGGUAGAGCAUCUGCUUGCCAUUCAGAAGGAUCCAGAUUCAGUCCUUGGCAUCUCCA
This 77-nucleotide transfer RNA is filed under the name Sphaerodactylus townsendi. Its description in RNAcentral is "tRNA-Gly". The stretch from base 6 to 67 matches the Rfam family "tRNA". Rfam says of the family: Transfer RNA (tRNA) molecules are approximately 80 nucleotides in length. Their secondary structure includes four short double-helical elements and three loops (D, anti-codon, and T loops). Further hydrogen bonds mediate the characteristic L-shaped molecular structure. tRNAs have two regions of fundamental functional importance: the anti-codon, which is responsible for specific mRNA codon recognition, and the 3' end, to which the tRNAs corresponding amino acid is attached (by aminoacyl-tRNA synthetases). tRNAs cope with the degeneracy of the genetic code in two manners: having more than one tRNA (with a specific anti-codon) for a particular amino acid; and 'wobble' base-pairing, i.e. permitting non-standard base-pairing at the 3rd anti-codon position. The record is from RNAcentral. Lineage: Eukaryota; Metazoa; Chordata; Lepidosauria; Squamata; Sphaerodactylidae.